UACGGAGGAUCCAAGCGUUGUCCGGAUUUAUUGGGUUUAAAGGGUGCGUAGGCGGUCUAUUAAGUCAGUGGUGAAAGUUUGCGGCUUAACCGUAAAAUUGCCAUUGAAACUGAUAGACUUGAGUUUGGUUGAGGUUGCCGGAAUGUGUCAUGUAGCGGUGAAAUGCUUAGAUAUGAUACAGAACACUGAUUGCGAAGGCAGGUGACUAAACCAAUACUGACGCUGAGGCGCGAUAGCGUGGGGAGCAAACAGG
RNAcentral lists this ribosomal RNA (253 nucleotides) under uncultured bacterium. Its description in RNAcentral is "partial 16S ribosomal RNA". It matches the Rfam family "Bacterial small subunit ribosomal RNA", at positions 524 to 776 of the family's 1533-position model. The record is from RNAcentral.